GACGAACGCUGGCGGCGUGCCUAACACAUGCAAGUCGAACGGAGCACUUCGGUGCUUAGUGGCGAACGGGUGAGUAACGCGUGAGAAACCUGCCUCUCAGUGGGGGACAACAGUUGGAAACGACUGCUAAUACCGCAUAACACUUUUAGACCGCAUGGUCUUUAAGUCAAAGCUUUAUGUGCUGAGAGAUGGUCUCGCGUCUGAUUAGCUAGUUGGUGAGGUAGCGGCUCACCAAGGCGACGAUCAGUAGCCGGUCUGAGAGGAUGAACGGCCACAUUGGGACUGAGAUACGGCCCAG
RNAcentral lists this ribosomal RNA (298 nucleotides) under uncultured bacterium. Its description in RNAcentral is "partial 16S ribosomal RNA". It matches the Rfam family "Bacterial small subunit ribosomal RNA", at positions 28 to 334 of the family's 1533-position model. The record is from RNAcentral.